GCCACCGCGCCCGCGUGCCUGUAGUCCCAGCUACUAGGGAGGCUGAGGCUGGAGGACCGCUUGAGUCCAGGAGUUCUGGGCUGUAGUGCGCUAUGCCGAUCGGGUGUCCGCACAAAGUUCGGCAUCAAUAUGGUGACCUCCCGGGAGCGGGGGACCACCAGGUUGCCUAAGGAGGGGUGAACCGGCCCAGGUCGGAAACGGAGCAGGUCAAAACUCCCGUGCUGAUCAGCAUUUCUGUUUUCUAUCCAGGCCUUUGGAAUUAAGGAGAAUUUAA
This is an unclassified non-coding RNA of Rhinopithecus bieti (black snub-nosed monkey), 274 nucleotides long. It matches the Rfam family "Metazoan signal recognition particle RNA". Rfam says of the family: The signal recognition particle (SRP) is a universally conserved ribonucleoprotein. The record is from Ensembl. NCBI's taxonomy places the organism in Eukaryota, Metazoa, Chordata, Mammalia, Primates, Cercopithecidae.